GAUGAAGAACGUAGCGAAAUGCGAUACGUAAUGUGAAUUGCAGAAUUCAGUGAAUCAUCGAAUCUUUGAACGCAUAUUGCGCUCUCUGGUAUUCCGGAGAGCAUGCUUGUUUGAGUAUCAGUAAACACCUCAACUUCCAUAUCUUUUUGAAAUGGGAGUUGGACUUGAGUGAUCCCAACGCUUUUCCUCACCGAAAAGUGGCGGGUUACUUGAAAUGCAGGUGCAGCUGGACUUUUCUCUGAGCUAUAAGCAUAUCUAUUUAGUCCGCCUAAAAAACAGAUUAUUACCUUUGCUGCAGCUAACAUAAAGGAGAUUAGUUCUUGUGCUGACUGAUGCAGGAUUCACAAAGACGGCUUCGGCCGACUUUGUAAACUCGAUCUCAAAUCAAGUAAGACUACCCGCUGAACUUAAGCAUAUCAAUAAGCGGAGGA
RNAcentral lists this unclassified non-coding RNA (431 nucleotides) under soil metagenome. RNAcentral describes it as "partial contains 5.8S ribosomal RNA, internal transcribed spacer 2, and large subunit ribosomal RNA". The stretch from base 1 to 120 matches the Rfam family "5.8S ribosomal RNA", at positions 35 to 154 of the family's 154-position model. The record is from RNAcentral.